Molecule: long non-coding RNA, 307 nt
Filed under: Durio zibethinus
Lineage: Eukaryota; Viridiplantae; Streptophyta; Magnoliopsida; Malvales; Malvaceae
Description: long non-coding RNA (DZIB_LNC000495)
Source: RNAcentral
UGCUUUUGCCAUAUUAUGAUCAAUGCUCCAAACAUUCUCUUUCUGUCCCUUCACUGUCACCUUCCCUUUUGGGCUCGUCUUGUUCUGGCUAUUGCCAGGUUUGUUCUGGCUAUUGCCAGGUCUGUUCUGGCUUUGGGUUAUGAGUCUUAUUUUAGAGAUCUUUGGUUCAGGAAAUUUCGAAGAGAUAGACAGGGAGGAGAAGAAGUUUUGAGAAUUUGGUUGGUGAAAGUGAAAACCUAGACAAUAAUUCUUGCAGAGGUGGAGACGUGGUGAUUGCAUCUUCUUAGGAGACGAUGAUUUCUACUUU